CUCAGUAUAAGCUUCUAUACGGCGAAACUGCGAAUGGCUCAUUAAAACAGUUAUAGUUUAUUUGGUGGUCAGCAAUUACAUGGAUAACCGUGGUAAUUCUAGAGCUAAUACAUGCGUCCAAACCCGACUUCGUGGAAGGGUUGUGUUUAUUAGAUACAGAACCAACCCAGGCUCCGCCUGGCCUUGAGGUGAUUCAUAAUAACCGAACGAAUCGCAUGGCUAUGCCGGCGAUAGACCAUUCAAGUUUCUGACCUAUCAGCUAUCGUCGGUAGGGUAUUGGCCUACCGUGGCAAUGACGGGUAACGGAGAAUUAGGGUUCGAUUCCGGAGAGGGAGCCUGAGAAACGGCUACCACAUCUAAGGAAGGCAGCAGGCGCGCAAAUUACCCAAUCCUGACGCAGGGAGGUAGUGACAAGAAAUAACAAUACAGGGCAUACAUGUCUUGUAAUUGGAAUGAGUAAACUUUAAAUCACUUUACGAGUAUCAAUUGGAGGG
This 494-nucleotide ribosomal RNA is filed under the name uncultured eukaryote. Its description in RNAcentral is "SSU rRNA". It matches the Rfam family "Eukaryotic small subunit ribosomal RNA", at positions 59 to 555 of the family's 1831-position model. The record is from RNAcentral.